GUUGAACGCUGGCGGCAGGCCUAACACAUGCAAGUCGAGCGGAUGAAGGGAGCUUGCUCCUGGAUUCAGCGGCGGACGGGUGAGUAAUGCCUAGGAAUCUGCCUGGUAGUGGGGGAACGUCCGGCAACGGGCGCUAAUACCGCAUACGUCCUGAGGGAGACAGUGGGGGAUCUUCGGACCUCACGCUAUCAGAUGAGCCUAGGUCUGAUUAGCUAGUUGGUGGGGUAAAGGCAUACCAAAGCGACGAUCCGUAACUGGUCUGAGAGGGUGAUCAGUCACACGGGAAGUGAGACAGGGUCCAGACUCUUAAGGGAGGCAGCAGUGGAGAAUACUGGACGAUGGGGGAAAGGCGGAUACAGCAAUGCCGGGUGUGUGAAGAAGGUCUGAGGAUGGGAAAGCAAAGUAAGUUGGGAGGAAGGGAAGUAAGGUAAUAUGUGGAUGUUAUGACGGUACCAAAAGAAUAAGCACCGGCUAACUACGUG
This 482-nucleotide ribosomal RNA is filed under the name uncultured bacterium. RNAcentral's name for it is "partial 16S ribosomal RNA". It matches the Rfam family "Bacterial small subunit ribosomal RNA", at positions 28 to 507 of the family's 1533-position model. The record is from RNAcentral.